Long non-coding RNA from Lotus japonicus, 537 nucleotides. RefSeq lists it as uncharacterized. The transcript is spliced from 2 exons. NCBI's taxonomy places the organism in Eukaryota, Viridiplantae, Streptophyta, Magnoliopsida, Fabales, Fabaceae. The record is from RefSeq and is a predicted model, not a curated record.
AGAGAGGGGACGCGGGCUAUGUAGGGUUUUGGGGGGGGGGGGGAAAGGAUUUCUUUUCACACUAUUCUGAAGAAAGAAACCUGGUGCACUUCUGAAACACGUAAAACAGAGGAGAAAGAGUGAGAGAAACUUUCCCCUUGCACCCUAGCCGUCACCGUCCCAAGCCCCACCACCGUCGACGUGUUCGCACAAGAGGGAGAGGGAGUUCGCGAGCGAGAGGGAGAGAGGAAGGUCACGCGUGGGAGAAGAGGAGAGAAACCAGAACCUUGCUCUUCAAUUUCAUCUUUUCUUCAAGCCUAAGGACAAAGAUGGUCGUGAAGAUAAUGGCGAUGACUCAUUCUUGGGAGUUGAUGCUACGUGACGUGCCAAUACCGGAGGACGACUACACUUCAGAGGAAGAGGAAGAGGCUAAGGAAUAGGGUUUUGGUUGAGAGUCUUUUGUUUUCUGUUGGGGUUGAGAGUUUCCGAAGUGUUGGUAUCGAACAAUUUUAUUGCUUAAAUUCGAAUGAACAAGUUUUGAUGUAAUCUUUAUUUUCA